Molecule: ribosomal RNA, 465 nt
Filed under: uncultured bacterium
Lineage: Bacteria
Description: partial 16S ribosomal RNA
Rfam family: Bacterial small subunit ribosomal RNA
Source: RNAcentral
CCUACGGGGAGCAGCAGUAAGGAAUCUUCCACAAUGGGCGAAAGCCUGAUGGAGCAACGCCGCGUGGGUGAAGAAGGUCUUCGGAUCGUAAAACCCUGUUGUUAGAGAAGAAAGUGCGUGAGAGUAACUGUUCACGUUUCGACGGUAUCUAACCAGAAAGCCACGGCUAACUACGUGCCAGCAGCCGCGGUAAUACGUAGGUGGCAAGCGUUAUCCGGAUUUAUUGGGCGUAAAGGGAACGCAGGCGGUCUUUUAAGUCUGAUGUGAAAGCCUUCGGCUUAACCGGAGUAGUGCAUUGGAAACUGGGAGACUGGAGUGCAGAAGAGGAGAGUGGAACUCCAUGUGUAGCGGUGAAAUGCGUAGAUAUAUGGAAGAACACCAGUGGCGAAAGCGGCUCUCUGGUCUGUAACUGACGCUGAGGUUCGAAAGCGUGGGUAGCAAACAGGAUUAGAUACCCCAGUAGUC